GAUGAACGCUGGCGGCGUGCCUAAUACAUGCAAGUCGAGCGAACGGACGAGAAGCUUGCUUCUCUGAUGUUAGCGGCGGACGGGUGAGUAACACGUGGAUAACCUACCUAUAAGACUGGGAUGACUUCGGGAAACCGGAGCUAAUACCGGAUAAUAUUUUGAACCGCAUGGUUCAAAAGUGAAAGACGGUCUUGCUGUCACUUAUAGAUGGAUCCGCGCUGCAUUAGCUAGUUGGUAAGGUAACGGCUUACCAAGGCAACGAUGCAUAGCCGACCUGAGAGGGUGAUCGGCCACAAGGGAACUGAGACACGGUCCAGACUCCUACGGGAGGCAGCAGUAGGGAAUCUUACGCAAUGGGCGAAAGCCUGACGGAGCAACGCCGCGUGAGUGAUGAAGGUCUUCGGAUCGUAAAACUCUGUUAUUAGGGAAGAACAUAUGUGUAAGUAACUGUGCACAUCUUGACGGUACCUAAUCAGAAAGCCACGGCUAACUACGUG
This 497-nucleotide ribosomal RNA is filed under the name uncultured bacterium. RNAcentral describes it as "partial 16S ribosomal RNA". It matches the Rfam family "Bacterial small subunit ribosomal RNA", at positions 28 to 507 of the family's 1533-position model. The record is from RNAcentral.